CCCGCCUAACAACUCUCUGUCCCCUUAACCACCUACAGUUCCCAGAAUCCCUGGGGGGGAAGCCAUUCCUGUUCAAAGCGUCUUCAUAGCACUUCCAAUGGACGGUGCGCCUAAUGUGACCUAAUGUUUCCUCCCUCUUUUUCUUCUCUCUCCCCACUGCCCCAUCACUUGCAAUGCAGCAGAUGUCCGCCUGCAGUCUCCCUUCAAACCUCCUUCUCUCAGGUACGCCCACGGCCUUGUCCAUUGCUCACUGCCAGUAUUUCACAUUCAUUUCUCCGAUGUAAAUAGGGAUGUCCUGCGGUUCUCUUCAUGACUUUGAAGGCUGGACUUGGGGAAAACCUCACCGGCUCCGGACAUCCCUGUAAGGCAAAGGCAAGCAGGUGAGUGGGAUGGCCCCCAUCCGACAGCGUCCUCCCAAACUCCUCCUCUGUUUGGCUGCCUGUUAACAAACAAGGCUUCCAAACCAGUUUGCAUCCAUCUCAGCCAGCGUAGCCUCACGGCAUCAACUAGCCUGCAUGCAAACUCUUCCGACAACCAUCCACCAGCUGCAGCCUCGCCAGGUCCAUUGCCAGACAUCAACCAGCUUCAGAGCUGAAUAUCCGUCGCCUUCAGGUAGCGAUCCCACCAGCAAGUCAACUUUGUACUUGCCUUCUCCUUGUUCCACAGCAUCCAAGCACCGGGCGAUUGCCUCCUUCCACUUGCCAGCUUGCCACCACGGGGCAGGAGACCACCAGGGCUGAGUGCCACCGAGCUGCCCAUUUCUCUCUGGGGAGGGUAACUGCUGAGGCUUGCACCUUGGCCCACAUUUAUACCAGCUCAGCUGCCAAAUGUUUUUGUGACAUUAUAGUCAACCCACAGACAAUGGCAGCAGCUGGGGAGGCAUCAUCACCCACCCCCCAGCCCUCACAAUGGUGAGUGCAGCUCAGCAGCCAAAACAUACCCACACCCCAAGUUGUGCCAAUAUCUGUGAAGGCCACACUGGAAACCCAAGGGGGCAGGAGGGGGACAUUUUUCAGUCCAGUGGUUGCAUUUCCCCCCACACAACACUAGUCAAAUGCACAAAUGAACAGAGCAAUGAAAGCAAGCCUUAUCUUUGUUCAGGAAGCUGUUCAAGGAAUGACAUGCAGAGAUAAAGUUAGCAUCUCAGGAAAAAAGCACUUUUUCAUCAAUCAACCAAUCAUUUAUUGUAUUUGACUGAAAGCCAUUACAAAUCCUGUUACAAAACCACCAAACCCAAUAACCCAAACUAUAGCUCCCAGAUUCUUUGGAGGAAGAAGCCAGGUGGAUGCCAUGUGAACUCAGCGAUGUGUCAAGUGAUGGCUACAUACUACCUCCAGGUUCAAAGGUGGCAUAUUUCUGUCUAUCAGUUCCUGAGAAUCACAAGGGCUGUUGUGGUCAGAUUCUGCUUGCAGUUUUUGCGCAGGCUUCUGUGAGAACGAGAUGCUGAACUUGGGACACUGGCCUGAUCCAGGCAGCUUUCUUAUGUUACAAAGGAAGACUUCCAAGAGAAUACUUUUAAUCUCACACUCCAAGAAAUGCUGCAAGUUUCAGAAAGUCACAUAAUGCACUCCAAAAUCAGAAAUUUUGAAACCAUUCCAGCACUGUGGCAUUUUGCUUUUUCUCCGCAUCUCUUAUCUGAACUAUGUUCUGGCAGUUUCUUUGAGUAUCUUUUUUCCAAUUUAUUUUUAUUUGGUAACCAUUUCUCCCUUUCUGAGCAAGGAACAAAAACAUUCCAAGUUCUCAGUGUCCCUGACUUAAGAGUCUGACUCCUCAGACCUGCCUACCAAGCGCUCACUGGCUGGUGUGCCUUUGAAGGUGACUCGGAAACUACAAUUAAUCCAGAAUGCGGCAGCUGGAGGGGUGACUGGGAGUGGCCACUGGGACCAUAUAGCACCAGUCCUAAAGGCUCCCAGUAUGUUGCCAAGCACAAUUCAAAGUGUUGGUGCUGACCUUUAAAGCCCUAACAGCCUCGGUCCUUAUACCUGAAGGAGCAUCUCCACCCCCAUCGUUCAGCGCUGAACGUCCAGCGCCGAGGGCCUUCUGGCGGUUCCCUCAUUGCGUGAAGUGAGGUUACAGGGAACCAGACAGAGGGCCUUCUCGGUAGUGGCGCCCACCCUGUGGAACACCCUCCCACCAGAUGUGAAGGAAAUAAGCAGCUAUCCUAUCUUUAAAAGACACCUGAAGGCAGCCCUCUUUAGGGAAGUUUUUAAUAUUUAAUGCUGUACUGUUUUUAACAUUUGAUUGGGAGCCGCCCAGAGUGGCUGGGGAAACUCAGCCAGAUGGGCGGGGUAUAAAUAAAUUAUUAUUAUUAUUAUUAUUAUUAUUAUUAUUAUUAAAAACAAAACAGUAUUUAGGCAAAAUUAUUUAUUCAACGGCACAUGCACUCCACUAGCCAUUUACAAACCCUUCAGGAAUGCAUGGUUUACAUUUGGUAUCUGUAUACCAGUUUUAUUUUGGUUUUCUUAAGCAUAAAGGAGUGAAUGCAUACAAAAUAAAUAAUUGCAUAGCAUAAAUAAAAUCCAUUGUAUAAAUAAUAAUAGUGCACAUCACUUUUUCCAGUCACAUAUAAAUAUUUCAAUUGACUUAUUUUUAACCUACAACAUGAGGGUAUGUUUGAAUAUACAAAUAUGCCUGAAGGAGCGUCUCCACUCCCAUUGUUCAGCCCAGACGCUGAGGUCCAGCUCUGAGGGCCUACUGGCAGUUCCCUCCCUGCGAGAAGUGAGGUUACAGGGAACCAGGCAGAGGGCCUUCUCGGUAGUGGUGUCCUACCUGUGGAUGUCAAGGAGAUAAAGAACUACAGAACUUUUAGAAGAUACCUGAAGGCAGCCUGUAGCAGGAAGUUUUUUUUAUGUUUGACAUUAUUUUUUAUAGUUUGAUGGAAGCCUCCCAAAGUAGCUGGAGAUAAGUAAUAAAAUAUUAUUAUUAUUUAUUUAACUAAGAGAAAAGUUAUGAACUAAGCACACGAACAAAAUGUAGUGUGUGCACCAUUUCAUGUUUUACUGGAAAAUCUUAGGUCACUGUUAACUGAUAGGCAGGGCCUUGGGGGGGGAGAAAUUCCCCCAUGAAUCUGACUUACGACUUCAGCACUGCCACUACAGAGUGACAGUGUCAUCAUAAUUUCACCAUGGCAACCAGCUGCUUCAUUUCCACUUAUUUGAAAGGCAGGUCAGUGAGUAUUUAUUUUAUUUAUUUAUUUAUUUAUUUUUGUAUAUAAUAUUUAUUAAGUUUUCCAUUUUUGUCCCAGGCAGGCAGAGAAACGUUACAAGAGGCAGACAGCAAGGAGUACAUCUUUGUAAGAAGAAAAACAUACACUAGAGAGAAUGAAUGAAUAAAUAAAUAAAUAAUGUUACGUUUUCAUUCCAGGGUUGGUGAAAUAAAGCC
This is a non-coding RNA of Podarcis lilfordi (Lilford's wall lizard), 3381 nucleotides long. NCBI's taxonomy places the organism in Eukaryota, Metazoa, Chordata, Lepidosauria, Squamata, Lacertidae. The record is from the annotation of a GenBank genome assembly.